UUUUUUUUUUUUUUUUUAAGCAUUUCUUGGACCGCUUCUGCAGCAUGUGGAGGUUCCCAGAAAAGGCAAAAAAACAAAAAAUAAAUAAAUAAAUAAAAUUAUCUUUUUCCCUAUUAAGAUUUGGAACAACUAAGUGAGAUGCUUUUCAAGUCAUCUGACAAAGAGUUUCAUCACCAAAACAAUAAAAGUACAUGUGCAUAACAUUUGCUUAAACCCAUGCACAAAGCUAGAUUUGUCACCUCACCUUUCAUGAAUUUCUCUUGUUCUUAUUUUGGUCUCUUUAAGGACACAAAAUCAAACUAUAGCAUCUAAGAAUCUUCAGUCUAAAUCAUCUGGGACCCAAGGAGUAUCCUGGAAGCUCUAGUUCUACACAGGUCUACAGAAAAUGGAUUAAGAGUCAUUUUCCUGUUCAAGGAUCACUCAAAUGCAAAUUCUUUUCAGAAGGGGAUAAAUCAGUAGAGGUCUAGAGUUCUUGCUGUCUUCUAGAUCCCUCCAGUCCCUUGGAGAAGAGGUAAAUUAACUGACCAGCUGUUUUCCUAACUGCAUUAUCUGCUAAACAUGUGGUCUGACCCAAAUCACAAUUAAUGUUCAUUUACAAGAUCAAACAACUUGAGUGGUAGCAGCUAAAACUGUAAUAAAAUGUACACACAAAUUUUACACUUUCAAUUUUCCAAAUCUGUCAGUUUGAACUACUUCAGAAACUUGAAUAACACACUGUAAAGUCUAACAAAUAAAUCUUCUCCAGUAACAUUUUAAAUAACCUUGUCCCACACCUUUCCUUCUUUAAUUCAUUACUGACCCACAGGGAGAGGAAAUACUUAGUAUCUAUCAUGUGCCUUGACCAACUAUGGAUUUAUACACUGGAUUAAAACAAUUUAGAAAAAAACCAUUUCUGAAAAGUAAACAUGGUUAUUUUCCAAAAAGGCACUCUCAGUAUUUUGCUCAGCUGUUUUCAGAGUUGCAGACAUACUACUGGAAUAAAUUAUAGAUUAAACAUAUGCCUUUGUAUUUUGGGAUAUCUAUUUCCCCAGUUUGCAGAUUUAAAGGAAAAUAUGAAUGGGAUACAGGGACCAUUUUACUUUUUAUCGUUACACUUAAUUUAACAAACAUAAUCAAUCAGAAUAACUAUUAAUACUACAGAACUAAGGAUAUAAAGAACAUAAGGCAGGAAAAUACAGUUACUAGAUUAAACAGUCUAAAACCAAGUUUGGGGCUUAAAUUGUAAUAUACACCAAUUUCAACACUAACAUUUUCUUUCUUACCCUAAAGGUCAAACUCAUAGAGUUCACAAAUCCAUGAAGAUCUCAUUGUUGUACUCUAUAAAACAGAGCAACAGUAAGAGUACCAUCAUUAUGUAGCUGAAGCAAGAAUUAAAUUAGCACCUAACACAUAUAGACUAAGUACUUAAUAAAUAUUCUCUACUGUUACUACCAGUACUCUGGCUAGGGCACAGCCCUAGCCUCUGUCUGGCAGUUCCUCUUCCUCCCAUGAAAGGAGCUCAAUAAAGGCUGAGGACUAUGCUAAUGGAAGCUUGUCUUUGUGAUUCUGCUUAUGAACUUGGGCUUAAGGAAGAGAAGUGCCCAUGGUAAAAUCCAAGGUGAAUAUUUAGGUCAAAUUCUGUUUUUAUCAAGAUCGAGCUUUUUCCCUGAUUUAUUUUAUCUCAAGAUCAAUCUCAUAAGGGAAAGAGCCAAAGGAUUAGAUGACUUUUUUGGGAAAGAGUUCUUUGCCUUUUCUAUUGCUGACUUCAGUCACUUUUAUGAACUUGGUGAAGAUUAUCUGCGCUGAGGAAUGGUUGAGAGCUAGGCUCCAUUCCUCCCCAUUCUCUCCACCCCCAAAAUGCUCUCCUGUCAUAGCAGAUGUUGCUGCUGGAAUGAAUUAUAUUUAUUAUAAAUUUUUGUGGUGUUGCUAGAAGAUGAACAUAUAGCACAACCUACCUCGGAUUAU
Molecule: long non-coding RNA, 1944 nt
Filed under: Sus scrofa (pig)
Lineage: Eukaryota; Metazoa; Chordata; Mammalia; Artiodactyla; Suidae
Description: lncRNA (ENSSSCG00050026918.1)
Source: RNAcentral